RNAcentral lists this transfer RNA (72 nucleotides) under Ovis aries (sheep). It matches the Rfam family "tRNA". Rfam says of the family: Transfer RNA (tRNA) molecules are approximately 80 nucleotides in length. Their secondary structure includes four short double-helical elements and three loops (D, anti-codon, and T loops). The record is from Rfam by way of RNAcentral. Lineage: Eukaryota; Metazoa; Chordata; Mammalia; Artiodactyla; Bovidae.
UCCCUGGUAGCUCAGACGGUAAAGCAUCUGCCUGCAAUGCGGGAGACCUGGGUUUGAUCCCUGGGUAGGGAA